CGGAGGGUGCGAGCGUUGUCCGGAAUCACUGGGCGUAAAGGGCGCGUAGGCGGCCGUGUAAGUCACUUGUGAAAUCCCGGGGCUCAACUCCGGGGCUGCAGGUGAGACUGCGUGGCUAGAGCUCGGUAGAGGCAAGUGGAAUUCCCGGUGUAGCGGUGGAAUGCGUAGAUAUCGGGAAGAACACCGGUGGCGAAGGCGGCUUGCUGGGCCGAUGCUGACGCUGAUGCGCGAAAGCGUGGGGAGCAAACAGGAUUAGAUACCCUGGUAGUCCACGCCGUAAACGAUGGGUACUAGGCGUCGGGGGGAGCGACCCCCUCGGUGCCGUCGCUAACGCAGUAAGUACCCCGCCUGGGGAGUACGGUCGCAAGACUG
Molecule: ribosomal RNA, 372 nt
Filed under: uncultured organism
Description: bacterial SSU rRNA
Rfam family: Bacterial small subunit ribosomal RNA
Source: RNAcentral